This 253-nucleotide ribosomal RNA is filed under the name uncultured bacterium. RNAcentral describes it as "partial 16S ribosomal RNA". It matches the Rfam family "Bacterial small subunit ribosomal RNA", at positions 524 to 776 of the family's 1533-position model. The record is from RNAcentral.
GACGAAGGAUGCAAGCGUUAUCCGGAUUCAUUGGGUUUAAAGGGAGCGUAGGCGGCCCUAUAAGUCAGUGGUGAAAGCCUUGAGCUUAACUCGGGAACUGCCAUUGAUACUAUCAGUCUUGAAUAUUGUUGAGGUUUGCGGAAUGGGUCAUGUAGCGGUGAAAUGCAUAGAUAUGACCCGGAACACCUAUUGCGAAGGCAGCAGGCUAAACAAAGAUUGACGCUGAGGCUCGAAAGCGUGGGGAUCAAACAGG